UAGUCCUACGGGGCGCAGCAGUGGGGGAUAUUGGACAAUGGGGGAAACCCUGAUCCAGCGAUGCCGCGUGAGGGAAGAAGGUUUUCGGAUUGUAAACCUCUGUGGAGGGGGACGAUAAUGACGGUACCCCUUUAGGAAGCCACGGCUAACUACGUGCCAGCAGCCGCGGUAAUACGUAGGUGGCGAGCGUUGUCCGGAAUUACGGGGUGUAAAGGGAGUGUAGGCGGGAAAGCAAGUCAGAAAUGAAAACUAUGGGCUUAACCCAUAGCCUGCUUUUGAAAAUGUUUUUCUUGAGAGAAGAAGAG
This 305-nucleotide ribosomal RNA is filed under the name uncultured bacterium. RNAcentral's name for it is "bacterial SSU rRNA". It matches the Rfam family "Bacterial small subunit ribosomal RNA", at positions 334 to 656 of the family's 1533-position model. The record is from RNAcentral.